RNAcentral lists this ribosomal RNA (254 nucleotides) under uncultured bacterium. RNAcentral's name for it is "partial 16S ribosomal RNA". It matches the Rfam family "Bacterial small subunit ribosomal RNA", at positions 524 to 776 of the family's 1533-position model. The record is from RNAcentral.
UACAGAGGGUGCGAGCGUUAAUCGGAAUUACUGGGCGUAAAGCGCGCGUAGGCGGCUUUGCAAGUCGGGUGUGAAACCUCCAGGCUCAACCUGGAGACGCCACUCGAUACUUCAAUGACUUGAGUUCGGUAGGGGUAAGCGGAAUUCCUGGUGUAGCGGUGAAAUGCGCAGAUAUCAGGAGGAACACCGACGGCGAAGGCAGCUUACUGGGCCGAUACUGACGCUGAGGAGCGAAAGCGUGGGGAGCGAACAGG